This 490-nucleotide ribosomal RNA is filed under the name uncultured bacterium. RNAcentral describes it as "partial 16S ribosomal RNA". It matches the Rfam family "Bacterial small subunit ribosomal RNA", at positions 30 to 507 of the family's 1533-position model. The record is from RNAcentral.
AUUGAACGCUGGCGGCAGGCCUAACACAUGCAAGUCGAACGGUAACAGGAAGCAGCUUGCUGCUUUGCUGACGAGUGGCGGACGGGUGAGUAAUGUCUGGGAAACUGCCCGAUGGAGGGGGAUAACUACUGGAAACGGUAGCUAAUACCGCAUAACGUCGCAAGACCAAAGAGGGGGACCUUAGGGCCUCUUGCCAUCGGAUGUGCCCAGAUGGGAUUAGCUAGUAGGUGAGGUAACGGCUCACCUAGGCGACGAUCCCUAGCUGGUCUGAGAGGAUGACCAGCCACACUGGAACUGAGACACGGUCCAGACUCCUACGGGAGGCAGCAGUGGGGAAUAUUGCACAAUGGGCGCAAGCCUGAUGCAGCCAUGCCGCGUGUAUGAAGAAGGCCUUCGGGUUGUAAAGUACUUUCAGCGGGGAGGAAGGGAGUAAAGUUAAUACCUUUGCUCAUUGACGUUACCCGCAGAAGAAGCACCGGCUAACUCCGUG